This is a long non-coding RNA of Peromyscus eremicus (cactus mouse), 790 nucleotides long. RefSeq lists it as uncharacterized. The record is from RefSeq and is a predicted model, not a curated record. The transcript has 3 exons. NCBI's taxonomy places the organism in Eukaryota, Metazoa, Chordata, Mammalia, Rodentia, Cricetidae.
CGGGGCCCCGCGCGCGGCAGGCACAUGAUCCGGAGUCACGCGUGGCACAGAGGCUUCGCCGGCUCUGAGGUCAGCGGCCUCCCGCCGUCGCGAGCCCAACUCACCUCUCUCGGGAGCUACCGCCGCCCGGACCCAGACGCCUCCUUCCCCACGCGGCCAUCUUGGAGACUCUCGGCUCGUCGGGGGCUGGCGCCGACGCGGCUCCGGGCGCGCGCAGGCCGAAGGGAAACGUAGUCCGGUGAGCCGCUGGUCCGCAGAGGGAGGCGGCGAGCGGACUACAACGCCCACAAUGCCGCAUGCCGGAAGGCUGCUGUAAACUGCCGCGCGCAAGAGGGCGAAAGGUGGGCUCCGCCUGAGGACUGUCAAAGACAUCGGAGAGACGCCACCUUGAUCUAUCCUGCUGCCUGCUGCUGGAGAGUCUCCCCUGGAAUCCUGACCCUAGAAUUGGAGACUGUGGUUAGAGACUGGAUCCAACCUUCAGCUAAGAUAUGUGACAGAUGGCCCAGCAGUUAAGAGCACUGGCUGCUCUUCCAGAGGAUCCCAAGUUCCAUUCCCAACUUCCACACAGCAGCUCACAAUCAUUUGUAACUACAGUUCCGGGAGACCCGGUACCCUCCAUCAGGUGUGCCCAGGCACUUUGGUUUUAGUUGAUUCCAGCCGUAUAGUCAAGUUGACAACUAAGAUUAGCCAUCACAUGGACUGUUACCUGAAGUAAAAGAUGAAUAAAUUCUUUCCUCCCCAGCCGGGCGGUGGUGGCGCACGCCUUUAAUCCCAGCACUCGGGAGGCAGA